GUCGCAGGUUCGAAUCCUGCACGACCCACCAAUUUAACAUCAAACUCAGAUGUUAAGCGUGAAGGAUAACGUUGCGUAAGCAACGGCCCGCAGGGCGAGCGAAGCGAGUCAUCCUGCACGACCCACCA
RNAcentral lists this small RNA (128 nucleotides) under Klebsiella michiganensis. RNAcentral describes it as "partial RtT sRNA". It matches the Rfam family "RtT RNA", at positions 34 to 130 of the family's 130-position model. Rfam says of the family: This family represents a bacterial cis-regulatory element known as RtT RNA. The exact function of RtT is unknown although it is thought that it may be involved in changing the cellular response in relation to amino acid starvation. Lineage: Bacteria; Pseudomonadati; Pseudomonadota; Gammaproteobacteria; Enterobacterales; Enterobacteriaceae. The record is from RNAcentral.